Molecule: ribosomal RNA, 592 nt
Filed under: uncultured Bacteroidota bacterium
Lineage: Bacteria; Pseudomonadati; Bacteroidota
Description: bacterial SSU rRNA
Rfam family: Bacterial small subunit ribosomal RNA
Source: RNAcentral
UCAAAGGAAUUGACGGGGGCCCGCACAAGCGGAGGAACAUGUGGUUUAAUUCGAUGAUACGCGAGGAACCUUACCUGGGCUUAAAUGCACUUUGACAGAACUGGAAACGGUUUUUUCUUCGGACAGAGUACAAGGUGCUGCAUGGUUGUCGUCAGCUCGUGCCGUGAGGUGUCGGGUUAAGUCCCAUAACGAGCGCAACCCUUAUCGUUAGUUGCUAUCAGGUAAUGCUGAGGACUCUAGCGAGACUGCCACCGUAAGGUGAGAGGAAGGUGAGGAUGACGUCAAAUCAGCACGGCCCUUACGCCCAGGGCUACACACGUGUUACAAUGGUAUGGACAAAGGGCAGCUACACUGUGAAGUGAUGCUAAUCUCAAAACCAUAUCUCAGUUCGGAUCGGAGUCUGCAACUCGACUCCGUGAAGUUGGAUUCGCUAGUAAUCGCAUAUCAGCAACGAUGCGGUGAAUACGUUCCCGGGCCUUGUACACACCGCCCGUCAAGCCAUGGAAGCUGGGGGUACCUAAAGUCCGUAACCGAGAGGAUCGGCCUAGGGUAAAACUAGUAACUGGGGCUAAGUCGUAACAAGGUAACCGUA